GCGCCCGUAGCUCAGUUGGAUAGAGCGUCUGGCUUCGAACCAGAGGGUCGGGAGUUCAAGUCUCUCCGGGCGCACCA
RNAcentral lists this transfer RNA (77 nucleotides) under Acidobacteriota bacterium. RNAcentral describes it as "Acidobacteria bacterium tRNA-Arg". It matches the Rfam family "tRNA". From Rfam's summary of the family: Transfer RNA (tRNA) molecules are approximately 80 nucleotides in length. Lineage: Bacteria; Pseudomonadati; Acidobacteriota. The record is from RNAcentral.